RNAcentral lists this non-coding RNA (85 nucleotides) under Escherichia fergusonii. Lineage: Bacteria; Pseudomonadati; Pseudomonadota; Gammaproteobacteria; Enterobacterales; Enterobacteriaceae. The record is from RNAcentral.
UCAAUGGUAGCUCAGGCGGGGCAGCCUCCGGGCUGGCCGGUAUCCGUUAGAGCCGGUAUUUCCACCCCCGUCUGGGCUAUCGCCA